CCAGGAUGAGCUAAACCUAGGCUAAAUAACUUUAUUGCCAAACUAUACAACUUUAAGGCUGGGAUAAUAUAAAGUAAUAUGUAUGUAGUGCACUUUAAAUUUCACGGGUGUAAAAUGAACGUCUAGCCAGAAACUGAAAUUUAAAUCCAAAACUGUGCCAUACAAAGUCGUCAAGAACGAUAUAUUAUUCUUACAGAUCUGAACUUGGGGAUCCACAAAGUGACAAAUAAAUUUUAUAGCACAAUAAAUAAAUCGUUUUUAAUUUAUUUUAUUACAAUUUUAAAAAUGAAACCGGGCCAGGUACAAGUCUCUCUUUAAGCACAAAGUUGCCAAAAAUUUCUACGAAGGAUUUCUACUGUAAUUUAUCUAAGGUAGACGUUUAGCAAAAUCGUCUGAAAAGUCUGAAAUAAAGUUGUUUCUAAGAUUUUAUCACGAUCCUAUCAGUGUUUUAAAAAGGGUAGGGGUUGAGGUUACAGGAUCUCAAGUCGAAACUAUUUCCAAGCUUGACAUUAAGCAUCAGAAUAGCAGAGACAAGACGGUCGCCUAUGUAUUUAUGUAAGUCAUUGGGAGACAAAUUCAUGUCCAACUCCAAAUGAAGUCAGCGUUCAUCCAAACCAAAUAAAUAAACCAACACCGAUUUUAUGGCACUGUUAUUGUGACUAAACCUGCAUGGGUUGAUGACUGAAACCUGAAAAUGGACUUUCUACAUUUUUGUGGUUUCCUUCAACAUUAAGGAUCUCAAAAAUCCUUCCUUGUUUAUGUUUCUGCCAGUCUUCUUAUCCCAAAGUUUGAGUAAGAUUUUAAAGCUUGGAUCCCGAAGAAGUAAACGUAAGUAGUAAGGAGUGCCCUAUAUGUGUAGUUCCAUAGUUAGUGUAACGGUACACAAAACAGACGCACAUCUCAUGUACGUAUACGUAGGUUAAUGUGUAGGGUCGUAACUAUCAAGAAAUCUAUCGCUGCUACAGAAAUCUAGACCCUAUGGAUUGAGAUUGAUGAGAGCAAAGUAAGGACUCUGCCCCUCGGUCAUUAAAGUACCCUUCAAUUUCUUCACAAGGCAUGGCUGGAAGCAGAAGAAAUGGCGCCUCGAAAACAUCAACAACCAGCAACAGGCACACAAUGAAGGACCCUUUCAGGAUGACUGCUACUACGCCAGGCAACCAUCGUCCUCCUCCUUCUCGCCCACAUAAAAUUUAAAAUCUGGCAAGGCUUCUAUUUCUCAGCUUUCAAAAUCAAGAUUGACUCCUGCCUUUCUACCCGGCCCUUUUCCAAAGCUGUGUAACAGAUAUUAUACGAUGCCUCUCUCCCCUCCUAAAAUUGGAUUCAUUACAUAAGAAGCGGAGCAAAUCCAUCCAUCGUCUUGAAGCACACGCCUCAGACAGACAGAAGGGAAAUGUGUGUGGAAACUUAAACCAAAAUACACAAAAGAUGAUGCACUUUGAAACAGGCAGGAAAGAAAACUGUCUGUAAAAUCACAACUUUUUUUAGCAGCAAUAAAAUAAAUUUUAAAUUUUAAUUA
Long non-coding RNA from Folsomia candida, 1516 nucleotides. RefSeq lists it as uncharacterized. NCBI's taxonomy places the organism in Eukaryota, Metazoa, Arthropoda, Collembola, Entomobryomorpha, Isotomidae. The record is from RefSeq and is a predicted model, not a curated record. The transcript is spliced from 5 exons.